GCGGGAGGGAAACACCCGGCCACAUGCCGAACCCGGCAGUUAAGCCUCCAAGCGCCGAUGGUACUGCGAGGGGUACUCGCGGGAGAGCAGGUCGCCGCCGGAU
Molecule: ribosomal RNA, 103 nt
Filed under: Synergistaceae bacterium
Lineage: Bacteria; Thermotogati; Synergistota; Synergistia; Synergistales; Synergistaceae
Source: RNAcentral